AGUGCUUCAAUUGCUCGGGAAGACUGAGACCUGCAAUAGAAAAUAAUUAUUAUUCUGAACUAUUAGCUGAACGAGUUUAUGCCAGCAAACAAGGCCGAGGAAGUGUGCAGGAAAAGGAUUCAUUCUAAGGAAACUGUUGUUGUGUGAAAGGGGAGUGUAGAACCAAAUGUUUUUUAGCUGCUACCAAAAAGGACUGCUUAAAAAACUGGUUUCUAUCCGAACACU
This is a long non-coding RNA of Armigeres subalbatus, 225 nucleotides long. RefSeq lists it as uncharacterized. The transcript has 3 exons. NCBI's taxonomy places the organism in Eukaryota, Metazoa, Arthropoda, Insecta, Diptera, Culicidae. The record is from RefSeq and is a predicted model, not a curated record.